UUCUUUACAUAAAUUCCCAUAUGUGGUACAAAACUUCUCCCUUAUUUCUUUCUCCCGUUACUUCUCUCAUCCCUCUAAGGAGGUGGUAACACUGCUGUUGUGCCCCCCCCACCCAAGGCUGCCGUGGAAUAAGACUUGUUUGUUGAGAUGGGACGUCACGUGGGUGGAAACAGGAAAGUAACAACACCAUAAGACAUCAAUUACCAUGGCCUACACCUCCCAACAGCCAGUUUGGUGUGGUUUGCCUACAGGACUAUAUUAUUACUAGUAACACACACACUUGACCAAUAGGCCCAGGCCACAACAGCCAGCCCGGCACAGUCACCAAAAAGAUCAGACCGUUCACAGGACCCACCAACCACAUGCAGCCUAGUAUGGAAAGUGAAUAACAGAUCAUGCCGUUACAGUCACCAUUUGUUCCAAUAGAUGAUUAUUUUCUGUUCCCUGUGCUACACACAGCCCUGUAACACCACCACAACAAACACUUGCACUCACACACACAGCAGAACUGAAUCAGCACAGCCCCUCAGGAGAAGUGGACCUUCACGUGCCUGGCAAUCUCACCCUUAGUCAUGAAACGUUUCCCACAAACAUCGCACUUGAACCCUUUAUGACCAGAGUGUCUGAAGAGGUGCAGGUUCAAUAGCCUCUUCAGUUUGAAUCUUUUCCCACAAACUUCACACUCAUGAUUUCUUGCAUCAGUGUGUGUAACAGUGUGUACUUUGAGGGUAUCCUUCAGACUGAAACAUUUCCCACAAACUUCACACUCAUGAUUUCUUUCACCAGUGUGUGUAAGGGUGUGUCUGUUGAGGUUACUCUUCUCACUGAAACAUUUCCCACAAACUUCACACUCAUGAUUCCUUUCACCAGUGUGCGUAAGGGCAUGUUUCUUGAGGGUACCCUUCUCACUGAAACGUUUCCCACAAACUUCAGACUCAUGUUUUUUUGCACCAGUGUGUGUAACGGUGUGUGUUUUGAGGGUACUCUUCCGACUGAAACAUUUCCCACAAACUUCACACUCAUGGUUUCUUUCACCAGUGUGUGUAAGGGCAUGUUUCUUGAGGUGACCCUUCUGACUGAAACAUUUCCCACAAACUUCACACUCAUGGUUUCUUGCACCAGUGUGUUUUAGGGUGUGACGUUUGGGGUUACUCCUAUUACUAAACCUUUUGCCACACUCCCGGCUUUCAUGAGGUCUUACGCCAGAGUGUGUGGGUGUAUUUGUUGAGGUCAUCCUUCCCUGCAUGUCUUUGGUCAGUAAACUUUCUCUCACUCUCAGAUCUUCUCACAUUUCUGAAAUUCAAACUUCCCCCUUUGUGGAUGAAGAGGCCAGCAGUUGCUUUUGGUGGUGGUGGUGGUGUUGGUAGUGGCAGUGGUGGUGGUGGUGGUGGCAGGAGUGGUGGUGGGGGUGGUGGUGGGGGUGGUGGCAGGAGUGGUGGUGGUGGUAAUGUUUUUGAUCACUCCUGAACC
Eriocheir sinensis (Chinese mitten crab) is the source of this 1470-nucleotide long non-coding RNA. RefSeq lists it as uncharacterized. The transcript is spliced from 3 exons. Lineage: Eukaryota; Metazoa; Arthropoda; Malacostraca; Decapoda; Varunidae. The record is from RefSeq and is a predicted model, not a curated record.